Molecule: long non-coding RNA, 425 nt
Filed under: Serinus canaria (Common canary)
Lineage: Eukaryota; Metazoa; Chordata; Aves; Passeriformes; Fringillidae
Description: lncRNA (ENSSCAG00000003824.1)
Source: RNAcentral
ACUUGCUCUUCCUUGCAGAUGACUUCUCCAGUGCUGUUUGGAUGUGCCUGCUGCUCCUAAAGCCUUGAUUUGACAGCAGCCUCUGGCAUGCUGUGGGCCACCAGAUCUGCAUAGCAACAGACCCGCCAGUCUUCCUGCGGAGAGUUAAAGGAAUUUUGGAGAAAAUAAGUGCUGGCAGCACAGGGAGCUGAGAGCAGUGGAAGUCCAGAGGUCCAGGGCACCAGAGGAGGUCACCAGGAGCUGUCAUGCCUUAUAGGCCCUGCAAGAAAGAGAAAGGAAAAAUGAUUCAUUGUUUGAUGCAAGCCUCUGUAGCCUUUGGACCAGCUCUCUUGUUCUGCAGCACAGGUUCAUUCCCUUUGUGCUGCAGCUCUUGGUCACCCCAUCCAGCAUGGACAAAAAGGCUGCACAGCAUUCAGAAGUACUGA